Molecule: ribosomal RNA, 109 nt
Filed under: uncultured bacterium
Lineage: Bacteria
Description: partial 16S ribosomal RNA
Rfam family: Bacterial small subunit ribosomal RNA
Source: RNAcentral
CCCGGGUCUUGUACACACCGCCCGUCACACCGAUGGGAGCGGGUUUCACCAGAAGUAGCUAGCCUACCGCAAGGGGGCGGUUACCACGGUGAGAUUCGUGACUGGGGUG